This 4865-nucleotide long non-coding RNA is filed under the name Microcebus murinus (gray mouse lemur). Its description in RNAcentral is "lncRNA (ENSMICG00000048285.1)". The record is from RNAcentral. Lineage: Eukaryota; Metazoa; Chordata; Mammalia; Primates; Cheirogaleidae.
AUGGACCUCAUAUAUAAUCCGGUCAAAGCAAGUAUUAGGACCUUUACUCCCAGAGAAAAGCGCUUUGUUGAAGACAGCCGCAAGCUGUCCAAAAAGAUCUUAUCAAGAGAUGUAGACCGAGUGAAAAGAAUCACUAUGGCAAUAUGGAAUACAAUACAGUUCCUUAAAAGCUGCUUCCAGUGGGAAUCCACAUUAAGAAGUGCAAUAGCAUUUGUGGCAUUUUUGGUCACCGUCUGGAAUUUUGAACUAUAUAUGAUCCCCUUGGCAUUGUUGCUGAUCUUUGUCUACAAUUUCAUCAGACCCACAAAAGGCAAGGUCAGCAUCGCCCAGGACAACCAGGAGGGCACAGACAUAGAUGACGAUGAGGAUGAAGAUGACAAGCAGCCUCCACCACUGGGACGUGCUCCUCAUGGACUUGGACACGCAGUCACUGGGUGACUGCCCACCAUCGUGUGCUGUAUAAAAAUGUCUUACCCACUGAGCCCUUCUGGCUUCUGUUGCAUGUUAGACAUGACAGACCAUGCUUCUGGGAACUGUAACACACCCAGUGAGAGAUGAACUGUUUAUAAACACACAGCCGCUUCGUUCAAAACCAGAAGAGGAGAGAAACUCCUUUCGACCCAAACUAUCCAUCUUGAAAGUGACACUCUUUAAUUGCUAGUGUCCCAUCCCACCAAAUACCAUCACGGAAGACUGUGGAUGAAGAUGAAAGCGUGCCGGGGCCCGUUGGCACAACUUCUCAGGAGAUGAAUGCGUUCCCAUAUUCUGCCUGUCUCUGAUGCACAGACCAGGACACAGUCUGGUGUCUAUCAUACUUUUAUCAUCUGGAACAGGGAUUUUUGUAAAAUUACAUCACUGUAGCAGCCUCUUGCUCCUUCUCAUUGUGAAACAUACAUGGUGGAAACCUGUGUUAGAAACCAGAUUAGAUUCCACAAUUUUGCCGCCUUUUGUGGACUCUCGGUGAUAACAGAGAACUUGCAAGUAACUAGCUUUGUGGCUUUUAGGAAAUGAAAUGUCCAGGCUAAAUUUUGAAAAGAGGAAAUCCCUUUCUCUAAUACCUGAUGGACCAUGUAAGAAAUUGCUUGUUACAAGUAUAGUUUUCUAGGGACUCCAGAACAAACAGAUAAUGGCUAGGUUCAGCCAACAGCAAUCAGUUGACAUUUCCUAUUUGUAUUAGAUUCCAUAUGUGGAAUCCUUCCGUGUGGACCUUAUUUGUAUGGAUGGAUUACAAUGAAAAUUGCAUUAAUUUUCUACACAGUAAAGGUCAGUAAUUGAAGCAUGAACCAAGAAACUAUUGUGUAAAAUGCUGUAUCCCAUACUUAGGAAAGGUCAUGCAAGACAAUAAUAUCUUGUUUUCAUUGCUGAAGGUAUAAAUACUUGCAUUAGAGUUUCUUUCUUUUUCCAGCCCAACAAUCACUUACAUAGACUAUUUCAGCAUUUACUAUUAACAUCAGGAAGAAGAAAUCAUAAGGGCAUGUAAUAAAAGGGGAAAAAAACCCCUCUUUAUUGCUAUCCAAAAGAAACUGUACUCUGAUGCCUGCUUUGUGGGUUGGUUUAUUUAUAACAAGGCUGUCAGAAAUAGGACUGGAAUGAUCUGUUCUUUUAGGAUCAUCAAUGAGGUCACAAUUGACUGACAGUAUUUAUGAAAAAUGAAAAUCACUCUUUUAUAUCAGUUAUAGAUGAGAGACAGAUACAGGCAUUUUUAUUUAAGAAAAGAGGAAAUAUCUAUUACAUUUUUGUUAGUUGAGGAAUGUUUUAUAAUGGAAGGAUGCAAAUGGAUAUUUUAUCUAUAUUGUCACAAAUUAAGAUGUCAUCAUUAAAAUUUAAGUACAUAUUAAAUCCUCAAUUUCAGUGUUUAAAAUGGUUUUCCAUCCUUCAAUUUGAUUAGUCCCUUUGUUAUUACCCAGGCAUGGCCUUUAUAGUGUUAGAAGCACACAUUUAGAAGUCCUCUCUGUGAAUUAACCUGAACAGUCCUUUGUAUGCCAUGGCUAAGUCCAUCACGUUCAUUCUCUGUUUCUUUAUGCCAGAGAGAGAGAGAAGAUGAUCUGUAGUUUUCUAGAUAGGGAAGUCUUUUAAUGGAGGAGUCUUCUUGCAGUCCAAUCGUGAGAGUGGUUUUGCUUAUGAUUCCUUUGUGCCAAAACACUGUAAAUUGAUGUGAUUAGUGAUUUUUUUCUAACUCUUGCAUAAGUAGUGGUAUUUACUGAUGAUAAAGUAUGAUAGUUUUAAGAAAAUUAAAACCCAGAGAGUGUCUGAAUGAUCCACAAUAGUUGUGAGUACACCCACAUACUUUCAGGGAUAUAUAACUUAUACAUAGGCAUAUUGUAGAAGACCUGCUUAUGGAUAAUUUUCAGGGGAAAACAUAAAUGGUAAUUUUGAUUUAAGUCAUUUUAAUUUGAUUUAAUAUUUUUAUAGUGAUGAAGUGAUUUAAUUGCUAACAUUUCCAUCAUACUAUCUUACUUUCAAGCCUUUAGUAGUGAAGUGGAUUUUAGCCAAUUCUUAAUUAUCAGUUUUGUAUGAGAAGGGAGUGCCUUCCCGAUUUUCUAUAGUUCUUUGACAUAUCCACUUGCUCGAAUUCCCUUUUAGAAAAUCAAACCUCCAUUCUUAGAAAUGUCUGACUUAAUAGACUUUAGAAGUAAUCCAGAAAUAUUGUUAACAUGGCCUUUUGGAACAUUAUUCAGAGUGUCCUACUUACUAUCAGACUGAUAUUCUUAGUAGUUGUAGAUCUCUGCAAUUUCCGCUGUAAGGGUGUACUUGGUUUGUUACUACCAAAUAUUGUGAACUAUAUACUGGACUAUAAAUUGGAUGACUUAUCUUUCUCUCAGGUAACAUUUACUAUCUGACAGAAUACCCUCAGAGGCUCUGAUAUUUUAGUCUGUACAAGUUUAGUAUCCCUACUCUCAAAAUCCAAAAUGCUCCAAAAUUCAAAACUUUUUGAGCUCUGAUUCUCAAAGCAAAUGAUCAUUGGAACAUUUCGGAUUUCAGAUUUUUGCAUUGGGAUGAUCAACCAAUAUAAUGCAGAUAUUUCAGCCCCCCCCCCCAAAAAAAAAUCUGAAAUCCAAAACACUUCUGAUCCCAAGCACUUCAGAUAAGGGAUACUCAACCUGUACUGUGUCUAGUAUUUAAUUUCCCAUUGCCUGAGAUUCUUACAUCACCCUAAGAUAGACUGCACUGGACAUCGUAUAAUGAUUAUUCACAAGUGAGUGUUUUUCUGAAAAUAGUAGCUAUUUCUUUUGAAUUUGCAAAAGAAAUAUCCAUCUGUUUCUGUGUUUCUUGUCCUAAGUCCCAAUUAUUCAAUGAGCUUAUGAGAUAAUUGAUAAUUUAUAAGAUAAUUGAUAGAAAAAUGGAGAUACCACUUUUUACCUCAAGGGAAAAGUAAUCAUUUGAUUUAAAACUUUUAAAUGAAAUAAAAGUGAUAAUGUAAAACAAGACCAUUUUGAGUAAUGUUUAAACAGUUAGAUUUAUAUAAAUAUUAAUAUUUUUAGAAUAUUUACAGUUUGCAGGCUGCUUUUAUAUGUUUUAGCUCAUUCAGAACCCAUAUUAAAAUGUCGAAUUUGAUAUUGUUUUCCCUGUCUAAAAAUUAACAAACAAAGGUCAAGAGAAAUUCAGUAACAUGUCUGAGAUUUCUCAGCCAGGAUGGCAGCCACACUCAAACCCAGCUCUUCUGAUCUAACUCUUGUUUAUUUUUGACCAUGCCAGAUUGUUGUGAAAGUAACAUGUCAUAAUUAUGAGUUCAUUUUUAUGCGUUGUUUUGGAAACACUUAAUUGUUUUCUCUAUAUCAGAGACUCUCUGAGUACAAAGGUUGCAUCCAUCAACAAGGUGCUCUUAGUAAAAAUAACGCCAGCACCCUGAGAUUGCUGCUUUCAUCAGUGUUUGUAAUGUGGUUGUGUAGGUAUGCUGGGCAUCAGAGGAGAAAGGCUGGGGGGGAGGAGUUAGGGGGUCAGGGAUGCUAAAAGGAGGUGAUGUGUGAGCCAAAACUUAGGGUAGUAAGAAUUACUUGUUGCCUUGCUUUAUCACAUAAAUAUUUCAUCUUAUGUCCCCCCUACUUUCCCACCUGGGAGAAAAUUAAAGGAUGCACACAGCUAAAAUCAGCAACUGCAGCUUAUUGUGUAUUUAUCUACUGUAGUUACAGUUACAGAAAACCAUUUUCCCUGUUUACCUUGUGGUGGCAAUGGCAUUCUGUCACUUGGCUCAGAGAGACUUUUAAUGAAAUCAGUCUACCCAGGGUCUAAGUUCCAAGUAAUUUUUUCCCUAAAUUGUUACCACUUUUUCAAUUGUUUUAUGAGUGUCUUCCUCUUGAAGUUGUUGUGCAUUCCUUUUACUUUUUCAUCCCUGUAAUAGCAGUUGAGAUUUCUAUUGCAAAUAGAAAAAAAAAAAAAAACCUAGUAAAUGCCAGCACAGUGUGUAAGUGCUUAUGUAAUGAACAGAUAGAGCAGUAUAAGACCACUUAGAAAUGAUAUUGAUUCAAAAUCCAAAUACUGUUUUAUAUUCAUUUCCCAAAGCAAAAGAACUGCUUGAGAAAUACUCUAAGGAAAGAGUACGGCUUCCCCCCGCCCCCCAUUUUAAUAGCAUGCACCAUGGAGUUGACUGUGUGUGUGUGUGUGUGUCCACUGCCCACAGAAUGCUUCAUGGGAAGAAAUCCUAAGGACAGUUCCCAGUGCAUUAAGCUGGGAUUCCCAAAGAACAAUUUUUAAUCUCAUAUAUCAGAAAUAUUGCUUCUUGUUCUUUGUUAUGACAGAUACUGAAAGGUUUUUUUUUUCAUGCUAAAUGCCACUCAAUCUAUUUCUAAUGUUUAUACUUUUGCAAGUUUUCAAAUUAUAGGCUUUUAAUACUCAGUGGAAUGAAACAGACCAAACAUAUUCCUGUU